Ictalurus furcatus (blue catfish) is the source of this 991-nucleotide long non-coding RNA. RefSeq lists it as uncharacterized. The record is from RefSeq and is a predicted model, not a curated record. Lineage: Eukaryota; Metazoa; Chordata; Actinopteri; Siluriformes; Ictaluridae. The transcript has 3 exons.
CUAGGUCUCGUGCUGGGCAGUUUGGACGUCGGUACACUGGGCAGCCUGCCCAUGUUUUUCAUACUUUCCUCAAGCUCUUCCUGCUCCAGCUCUUCCAGCUCGGCCAACAACUCAUCCUAAAGAUAGUACUGACUGUUCCCAGUGAUGGCUGCUUGUUAUAGGCUGGACGGCUAAAAUAUAAUAUCCAUCAAUACAUCAACAAGUCAUUCCAUCUGAAAUGUUCCAGUAAUUGUAAAUAAUUAGUAUAAGGUACAGUGCUAUAUUGCUUCAGGUCCUUCCACAACAUUUCUAUUGGAUUAAGGUCAGGGCUUUGACUUGGCCAUUCCAAAACAUUAACUUUAUUCUUCUUUAACCAUUUUUUUGUAGAAUGACUUGUGUGCUUAGGGUUGUUGUCUUGCUGCAUAGCCCACUUUCUCUUGAGAUUCAGAUCACAGCCAGAUGUAAUGACAUUUUCCUUAAAUUCGCUGGUAUAGUUCAGAAUUCAUUGUUCCAUCAAUGAUGACAAGCCUUCAUGGCCCAGAUGCAGCAAAACAGGCCCAAACCAUGAUACUACCACCACCAUGUUUCACAAAUGGAUAACACAAUAUUCUGUUCCUCUAUGCAGGAAUGGUGAGUGGGAUAAGAAGAAAAAUUGACUGGACUAUCAUACAUCAACAAACCAUUAAAUCAGUAAACCACUGGGAUUAGAAGAAACAUAUGACUGUUUCACUGAUGGUGGUACCUCAUCAAACUGCUCGCCGAAAGGCUGUGAAAUAGCACCGCUGAUUUCCUGAGCUAUUUGCUGCUGCUCUGUGAUGUCCUCCAUGAGAGAGUCGAUAUUAUCCAUAUCUCUGAAAAACAGACAAAGGCUCAAGGACCUCCGCGUUGGUGUUGGCAUUCUCUACUGCCUCCCGCUGAAACUCGAUGGUGGACAACGUCCCAUCAAUCUGAGUCAGCUGCUGCUCAAGACGCUUCUUCCUUUUCAGAGCCUGAAGUGCAGCUAGGCAACAAC